Molecule: small RNA, 2089 nt
Filed under: Rattus norvegicus (Norway rat)
Lineage: Eukaryota; Metazoa; Chordata; Mammalia; Rodentia; Muridae
Description: uncharacterized LOC102551701
Source: RNAcentral
CCUCAUCAUUUCUGGGGUAACCUCAUCUAUACGUGAUCUUUCCUUCAUUCCUGGGGUGACCUCAUCUGUGUGGGACACAUCUUCACCAUUCCGGGGGUGAUUUAUGGAUGGAGGAAGAAGGAAUAGCUGGAACUCGUGAUGCUCUUGCGUAUGGUGGAAGAGGUUUGUUAUAGACACAAGAGAGUAAGAAUAUUACAGAGGCACCUGGGAGAGUCCAGAGUGAACAUUGUCAGACUGAGCUGGGCCAUGUGAGGAGAGAGAAGCAGGGAAAGCAAGGGAGGAUCUACUAACAAAGAGCGGAAACCUGGGCUAACAGAUGAUGCAGCCCAAAUGGAGCCAGAGAAACUGAGGGAAGGGAAAACCCAGCCCAGUCUCUUGGCUGAAGAGGUACAGCAUGGAGUAUGCCAGCCAGGAGGACCCUGGAACAGCCAGACCGGAUGCUUGCCCACUCGGAGACCCCAGUCUCAUCUGUCUAUAACAUCUCCACACUAAUACGUGACUUCCAGAGACUCCGGGUGAGGCAUUGGAGACCAGCCAGAAGCCCUUUUCAAAGACCUUGACUUUCACGUGACCUUUUCACCCUCGAUGGACAGAACAGACGAGUGACUGGCUUCGCUGCAACAGGACAGCGACGUGACCUCUCAGCAUCCUGGUCCACCCGCAUGCCUGCCUGCUGCCUCUUCCCUGCCAUUACGGAUGCUAAUCCUCUGGAACCACAAGACAACAUAACAACAAGUCCUCUUCCUUAGGUUGCCUUGGUCAUGGUAUCCUGUCACAGCGACAGAAAAGUACUGAAUAUGAGGGACAACCCGAUUGUGUGUUUGCGUCGAGCUAUCUCAAAGACACGAUCCAGUCUACGGAUUGACUGACUGCCCUUGUACGUCCGUACCCAUGCGAACGAGCACAGCACGAUCACAGAAGAACGAGCCUCGGUGAACAGUGAAUGCCUUGAGGGAACUGUGGGAGAGGCUCCAGGAGAAAAAGGCUGAGGGCCUUUACCUCAGGGGCAUCUUGUUCCCUGGAUUGUUCUUGGAUGUGAUUUUGUGUUUCCUGUGUUAAACAUUUACGUUCAAUUCAUAAGACUUGUUUGUUCUUGUUGGAUGUCUGAACAUAGCUGUAGAACCCAAAUCUGGUCAGUGUACCUUGAAUCUGGACAUGGCCUUCUGCCUUGCUUCCCUGCUUUCCCGGAUCUAGUCUAGUACGUUCUAGGUAAUUGUGUUUAAACUGGUCUGUCCUGAGAAAGUUCUGGGGACAGGCUGCUCUGCUAAUAUUUAGUAUGUGCUUACUGGUGUUAAUUUGCAUGUUUUUCUGAACUCUAACAGCCUUCCUUGAAUCCUUCCUUUCUUUUUUAUGUUGGGUCUAAAGUACACUGAAAGUAAGGAGGUUACCUACAGUUUCAGACUCUAGUAUGCCCCAUUCUUUCAGGUCCUCGGAUUCCAAGUCCAGCAGACAAGGUCUGCACGAGUUGAUGCAAAUCAUCACGGGAUAACCUUUCUUCUGUUUGUUUUGGUUUUGUUGUUUAAGACCCAGUCUCCCAUAGUUCAGAGACUUGAACUGAAUAUACAGCUAAGGACAGUCCCCUUGCCCCUACCUCCCAAGAGCUGGGAUUGUAGGUGUGCACCUCCUUCUGGUUUACUCAGCGCUGGGACAUUAAUCUAGGAAAACGGGCCUGCCAGUCAUCAUGCACGCUAGGCAAGUUUUAUACGGACUGAGCUACCCCCCCACCAGCCCUCGGUAUCCAUUUUUUUUUUAAACCAUCUGGAGAAACAAGUUGGGGAAUAAAUUACAUAGGAAUUUGGAAAUAAAAAGAAUAAAUAUAUGUGCCAGAACCAUUUUAAUACUGAAGGUUUUUUAAAUGUAGCUGACAGCGUUAUUAAAAUGUAUUGCGAUGGUUGCAAAAAUCAAACUGUUAAGGCUUUUAGAAGGGACUACAGCUUUCUUCUUUUCUUUAAGUGUAUUCUUUAAUGUGAAUCAAGGGUGGCUGCUGGCAGUAUCGGCCCACACACUCAAGUGUACAAAAAAUGCUGUCCAGUGGGUGAAUAGGGCCAAUAUGGAGGGUCCGGGUCGCGGUAUUAAAUAAUUCCCAUCA